UGCAAGUCGAACGGGCUAGUGCUUCGCACUAGUCUCUUUCUGGGGUUGUUACUCUAAGGCUACCUGCUAAAGUUAUUGCUUUAAAGCAGGGGUUUUAGGAGACUUUCCCCGAAAGGGGCCAGUGCGGAGCACUGGCCAGUGGCGAACGGGUGAGUAACACGUGGGUAAUCUACCCUCGAGUGGGGAAUAAGCUUCCGAAAGGGGGUCUAAUGCCGCAUAACGUUUCAUAACGAUGGUUAUGAAACCAAAGCCCAAAAGGCGCUCGAGGAGGAGCCUGCGUCCUAUCAGCUUGUUGGCAGGGUAAUGGCCUACCAAGGCUAUGACGGGUAGCCGGCCUGAGAGGGUGUCCGGCCACACUGGAACUGAGACACGGUCCAGACUCCUACGGGAGGCAGCAGUGGGGAAUUUUGCGCAAUGGGGGAAACCCUGACGCAGCGGCGCCGCGUGGAGGAUGACGGCCUUCGGGUUGUAAACUCCUGUCAGAAGGGACGAAAUCCCGCAAGGGACUGACGGUACCUUCAGAGGAAGCCCCGGCUAACUACGUG
This 545-nucleotide ribosomal RNA is filed under the name uncultured bacterium. RNAcentral describes it as "bacterial SSU rRNA". It matches the Rfam family "Bacterial small subunit ribosomal RNA", at positions 56 to 507 of the family's 1533-position model. The record is from RNAcentral.